CACGUAGGGCGCAAGCGUUGUCCGGAAUUAUUGGGCGUAAAGAGCUCGUAGGCGGUCUGUUACGUCUGCUGUGAAAACCCGGGGCUUAACCCUGGGCUUGCAGUGGAUACGGGCAGACUAGAGGCAGGUAGGGGAGAAUGGAAUUCCCGGUGUAACGGUGAAAUGCGCAGAUAUCGGGAGGAACACCGGUGGCGAAGGCGGUUCUCUGGGCCUGACCUGACGCUGAGGAGCGAAAGCGUGGGGAGCGAACAGG
This 253-nucleotide ribosomal RNA is filed under the name uncultured bacterium. RNAcentral describes it as "partial 16S ribosomal RNA". It matches the Rfam family "Bacterial small subunit ribosomal RNA", at positions 524 to 776 of the family's 1533-position model. The record is from RNAcentral.